UACGUAGGGUGCAAGCGUUGUCCGGAAUUAUUGGGCGUAAAGAGCUCGUAGGCGGUUCGUCACGUCGGCUGUGAAAUCCCGAGGCUCAACCUCGGGUCUGCAGUCGAUACGGGCGGACUUGAGUACUGCAGGGGAGACUGGAAUUCCUGGUGUAGCGGUGAAAUGCGCAGAUAUCAGGAGGAACACCGGUGGCGAAGGCAGGUCUCUGGGCAUUAACUGACGCUGAGGAGCGAAAGCAUGGGGAGCGAACAGG
This 253-nucleotide ribosomal RNA is filed under the name uncultured bacterium. RNAcentral describes it as "partial 16S ribosomal RNA". It matches the Rfam family "Bacterial small subunit ribosomal RNA", at positions 524 to 776 of the family's 1533-position model. The record is from RNAcentral.